Molecule: non-coding RNA, 5156 nt
Organism: Oryctolagus cuniculus (rabbit)
Lineage: Eukaryota; Metazoa; Chordata; Mammalia; Lagomorpha; Leporidae
Source: RefSeq, a predicted model, not a curated record
UCAAAAAAAAAAAAAAAAACUUUAUUAAUAUAGCCAUUUAAUACCUGACACGGGGUGUCAGGGACAGUAAAUAAGAAAAUGUUUAGAAAAAAUAUCUUAACAGCAAAACUCACCCCACACUUUGAACAAAGUCCUAGGUCUCCUCAUUUGAAGUUUUAAAAGCUGUGUUCAGGGAAGGAAGUUUUUCUCUUUAAUUGCUCAGGUAUAAGGUAUCCAGGUGACUAUAUCAAGUGACAGAUUUGUGAAGGAAAGCUCUUCAGAAGGAAGUAUUGUUAUGUGCCACAAGAUGAAUGAAAAAAUAUGCUGUGAGAAUCCCAUUCAUAGCUAAGAAAAUGACAAAAUUUAUCUGUGGGGUUAGGAGUCCGAAUUCUUGACCUGGAAAGGAGUUAUUUGUUUUUGUUUGUGUGUGUGUGCCUUUUAAAAAAUUUGCUUUAUUUAUUUAUUUUAAAAAGAGAGAGAGAGAGAGAGAGAUCCAUCUUCCACCCACUGGCUCACUCCCCAAAUGGCUGUUAACAGCUAGGGCCAGACUAAAGCAAGGAGUCCAAAGCUCCAUCUGGGUCUCCCAUGUGGAUGGCAGGGGCCCAAGUACCUGGGCCAUCCUCUACUGCCUUCCCAAGUGCAUUAGCAGGGAACUGGAACCAGCACUGAUAUGGAAUGCCGGUCUUGCAGGCGACAGUUCAACCUGCAGCACCAAAGUACUGGCCCAGGUUUGGUUUAGUUUGUGAAAAUGUAUUUUUUGUUUGUUUGUUUUGACAGGCAGAGUGGACAGUGAGAGAGAGAGAGACAGAGAGAAAGGUCUUCCUUUGCUGUUGGUUCACCCUCCAAUGGCCGCCGCGGCUGGCGCGCUGCAGCCAGCGCACCACGCUGAUCCGAUGGCAGGAGCCAGGUACUUAUCCUGGUCUCCCAUGGGGUGCAGGGCCCAAGCACUUGGGCCAUCCUCCACUGCACUCCCUGGCCACAGCAGAGAGCUGGCCUGGAAGAGGGGCAACCGGGACAGAAUCCGGCGCCCCGACCGGGACUAGAACCCGGUGUGCCGGUGCCGCAAGGUGGAGGAUUAGCCUAGUGAGCCGCGGUGCCGGCCGUGAAAAUGUAUUAAACGCUAUACUUAUAACUUGAGUAGUUUGCUGUCUGCAUCUUAUAUCUCAUUUUAAAGUUGCACACUACAAAUUUUAAUUUUAAUUCAGUUUCAAAUCACAGAGUUUGGAAAACUAGGGCCUGUGGGUUAAAUAUAGGCUUCAGGUAUUUCUUGUUUGGUUAGUAAAAAAAAAUUUUGACCCAGCGUGGGCAUAUAGCGUAGUGGUUAAGAUGCCUCCUUCCGACACUGGAGUGUCUGGAUUUGAUUCCUGGUUAGGCUCCUGAUUGCUGCUAAUGCAGACCCUGGAGGCAGCAGUAAUGGUUCAACUGAGUCCCUGCCACUCACGUGGGAGACCUGGAUUGAAUUUCUGGCUCCUGAUUCGGGCUGUGGCCCAGCCCUGACCUUACAGGCAUUUGGAAAGUGAACCACUAGAUGACAGCUCGCUCUGUGUCUCUCUGUCUGUGUCUCUCUCUUUCUUCCUCUCAAAUAAAUGAAAUUUUAAGUUUUUGAGUAAGCAGUAGUAGUAAGCUGGGAGUCUGGAGCUCGGGGGAGCCGUAAAUAUAUACCAGGGUGCUUCAAGAAGUCUGUGGAAAACGCAAUGCAUGCAUCCAAGGCAUCGUCAAAAAGCUCAUGAAAAAGCACCUGUUAUUAAAAAAAAAUGUAUGGGUUUCCAGAUGUCUUGGCACCCAAGUGAACUUACUUUUUAAGACCCUUUUUCCAGGGACAUUUUGAAGUGUCCUCGCACUUGCUGUCUCUCAUUGUCCUCAUUGCUCUUGAAAAGGCUACACCUGCGCAGCUUCACCGCCGUGGGCUCCCCACCAGACCUCUGAGUGUAUCGGAGUUCAAAACGCCCUUCUCCACCACAUGCCACACAGGUAACCCUAGGUUGGCUGCCCUGCCUGAGUUGUUCCCACAACCUAAAAUUGUAAUUCAGUCCCAAAAGUUUUCUUUCUCUUUUUUUCUUAACAAGAAUCCAAUGUGUACCUCACACAAUGCCAGCCACAUAAUAGAUCCUAAACGAAUGGAAGUGAUGCAAUGAUUAGCAGGAACACUCUCAAACAAUGACAGUGUUUGUUGAAAUGAAAUUGAGGAUCACUUGCUGACUCCCAGCCAUUCUCCCACUGCGGCAGCCGAGCUGGUCCCUGCUUCAGAUCCCAUUUGCCACGUCAGGUUUUUGCUCAACCACGUUUAAUAACCAGUUUCCAGAUCUGGAUAUUGGGGGCUGUAAAUUUCCCUGGUGACUGUUGCCAAUGACAGGGAAGGAAAGACUUGUGUAAUUACCACUUGUACUUCCACAAAACACAUGAACUCAAGUAGAGAGCAAGGGUUUUAGACAAUAAAACACCAGGUUUUUAAAAGGCAGGAAAGACCUGCCCCACUUGGAUGAUAAGAACUGUGUGCCUGGUUAGAAAAAGAGAAACAAGAAUGACCCUGGUGUGGCCGAAGCACCACGCAAAGCCUUUGUUUGGGAAGGGACCAUUUCCCCUUUCCACCAAUGGCUGCAGAUUCACACACCUCUGUCAGAAGAAAUUAAGGCUUUAGGAUUAGCCAUGUGUUGGCUGGGAGUUAGUAGCCUUACCUGUGGCCAAAAUCCAUGGCAUUUAUUUGUCUAUAUUCCUUUGGUGAUGCAGUUACUCUUCUUAGUUGAUUUUACAGAAUGAUUGUUUGGAAAUGCUGCCAUGCUGUUCGGCAUCCUUCAAACAAGGCAAUGUAAUGAGUUGUAUGAAAAUAUCCCAAGACAGCAACCUGCUAGGACUUUGGGAACUAUGAAGACAUAGGGAAAUGCUCAAGGUCCUCCAUUGAAGGUGUUGGGCUUGGUUUCCAAAUCUAGUUGACGAUGUCCUGGUUUCAGAAAAUGGAGGUAGAGGUGAGCUGUCUUGAGUUUGGAGUCCCCCAAAGGAUUUGAUUUUUGAAAAUAAGAAAAUGCAUAAUUCUUGAUAUCUUUCCCUUGCAAUGGCUUGUGUUAGCAAGACAGCAUCCCUAUAGCAGGCUUAGGCUGCAUUUGCUUUUUCUGGAAGGAGCUGAACACCAAGCACAGGACACAGAGGAUUGACAAGAGGAUUAGCGGGUUGUGCAGUGAAAGGAAAGAGUACUGGAAUUAAAAAAAAAUUUAAUUUCUUUGUAAUAGAGAGAGAGACAGAAAGAGAGACAUCUUCCCUCCUCUGGUUCAUCACCUCAAAUGCCUGCAACAGCCAGGGCCGGGCCAGGCUGAAGCCAGGUGUAGAGAACUCAAUCUAGGACUCCCACAAGGGUAGCAGGGACCCAAAUACUUGAGCCGUCACCAUGCCGGUCAGGGUGCACCGUAGCAGGAAGCUGGAAGCAGACCCAAAUCCAGACUUAAUACCCAGACUAGAAUGUGGGAUGUGAGUGUCCCCAGUGGUGACCUAACCACUGUGACAAACACCCACCCCCAGAACUAGAAUUUCUUAGGGUGAUCAGUCCCAAAUUUCCUGAGCUUCCAGAAUUUAGGAAAUCAAGGAAGAAAAAUUUCUCUUAGAGUCAGAUUAGGCUGCUCAAAAAAAACUGAAAUUGAACAAAUCCAAAAGGGGCCACUGUGAAUUCUUAAGGAAUCAGCUCAGAGCAUGGCAUGUGGCCAUUCAUAAAAGGGUCAAUGUCCUCCUAUCUUUUCUCCUGAUGAUAACAGCUUCCCUGAAGUCUCACUUUGCCCCAAAGCGGUCAAAAUUGAUAGCAGCAGAGUUGAUUUUAAAUCACCAAAGACCCAGACAGACAACAAGGAAUAAACGGUUUGCUCCAGGUAUUUGGAGGAGCAGAGCAUUCUGCAAGAUUGCAUGAGAGGGACCAUUAACAGCACUUUCCUCCGUAAAACAGUUGUCUGUGCAUGUGCCCUGGGGAUUAUUAGCUCAAAGCUCGGAUGCCUCCUGGCUCACCUCUAAGUCUUCCCUCGCCCCAGCCCAUGACCUUGGAUCACACAGCUUCCCCUACUGCUGAGCCUGUUCAGCUGAAGAGUAAUGGACAAUUGGCUGAGGAUAAACUCAAAGGUGAGUAAUUACAUUUCAGCUUCUGUAUCAUUCAAAGCUAGUUCUUGUUCAUCUCUUCUCCAUGUCAACAUCAGAGUCAUUGCAAGUUGCCCGCUAACGCUUUUCACGUGCUUCUGAUCAUCUCUAAAGAGCAGGACACCAGCAGCAAGACUUCUAUGUUGAGCAGCGCUCCCGCUGUCUUUCUAAGUGGUGCUGGGAGGCAUGAGUAAAUGCAACAGCGCUUCGUAAGCUGGAUACUCCAGUUGGAGCAAGAAGAUGUGUUGCUUUCAGCUGAUACUUUGGAAACCACAUGAUGUGCAUUACUAUGGAGAAGCUCUGAAGAGUUGGCAUUGGCAAGAGAGAACUACAUGCCAGUGUAUGCUCAGCACAGUGACUAUGUUUCCUCAUUUCGUAGUCACAGCGGCCCCAGUGAGGUAGACAAUGUGUGAUGGUUAAGUCCUGGAUGUGUAGAGUCUGAUUACGAAGGCUGAAACCUGCUUAGCAGUGAUGGGGCCACAGGUAAGACCAUUCCUCCAUCGUUUAUGCAGAGUGUAUUUUCUGUGCCAGGUGCUGGGGGUGGUCCCAGCUUUGAGCAAGACAGAGGAGAUCCCUCCUGAGAGCUACCUUCUAGUGAGGUCAAACAAAAUAGACAAGUAACCAAGCCUGCGGGCAAACAAGAGCAUCUUCGAUUAGGACGACAGCAGGGAGAGGGUGGGGUCUGCUUCUAGACUGAUCCGCACAUUGGGGAGCCGACCUAGCGGGAAUGAGGGCACCCUGAUCUGAAAGAACAGUGUUUCAGGCAGCGGGAAGAGCAGACAGCAGGAUGCACUCCUCUGAGCCUUGCGGGCCACGUGAACUUGUUUAUCUGAUGACCUCCGCGCAGUCCCUGAAGGGCUUGAAGCAGGGGAGUGACAUGACAGGAGCUGCACAGAGGAGCGAGAGCCUGCAUGCCCUCAUCUGGCAUUUCCGGGAUGACCCAGGAAUGGCGACAGCCCAGAUGCUUUUCAGAGAGCAGGGAAUUCCAAUGACACUGCUCAGCGCAAGGUAGGGAUUCCAGGUGCUGCUGAGUAGAGAUGCUGCCGUUUGUAAAUGUGGUGGAAAGA